AACGAACGCUGGCGGCGUGCCUAACACAUGCAAGUCGAACGAGAAGGCGUAGCAAUACGCUUGUAGAGUGGCGAACGGGUGAGUAAUACGUGGGUGACCUACCCUCGAGUGGGGAAUAACCCGCCGAAAGGCGGGCUAAUGCCGCGUACGCUCCUUGGACUUCGGUUCAGGGAGGAAAGCGAUGCCGAGGGUAUCGCGCUCUUGGAUGGGCUCAUGUCCUAUCAGCUUGNGGUGAGGUAACGGCUCACCAAGGCUUCGACGGGUAGCUGGUCUGAGAGGACGAUCAGCCACACUGGCACUGCGACACGGGCCAGACUCCUACGGGAGGCAGCAGUAAGGAAUAUUGCGCAAUGGGCGAAAGCCUGACGCAGCGACGCCGCGUGGGGGAUGAA
This 392-nucleotide ribosomal RNA is filed under the name uncultured bacterium. RNAcentral's name for it is "bacterial SSU rRNA". It matches the Rfam family "Bacterial small subunit ribosomal RNA", at positions 29 to 412 of the family's 1533-position model. The record is from RNAcentral.